AGAAGGUACACAGCGACUGUUGGAGGAGGAAGUCACUUCUGGGCGUGUAGGGGAGCCCCGUGUAGACAUCUGCAGCCUUGGAUCUCCUGACCA
Tupaia belangeri (northern tree shrew) is the source of this 93-nucleotide non-coding RNA. The record is from Rfam. Lineage: Eukaryota; Metazoa; Chordata; Mammalia; Scandentia; Tupaiidae.